Molecule: ribosomal RNA, 495 nt
Filed under: uncultured bacterium
Lineage: Bacteria
Description: partial 16S ribosomal RNA
Rfam family: Bacterial small subunit ribosomal RNA
Source: RNAcentral
GACGAACGCUGGCGGCGUGCCUAAUACAUGCAAGUAGAACGCUGAAGGAGGAGCUUGCUUCUCUGGAUGAGUUGCGAACGGGUGAGUAACGCGUAGGUAACCUGCCUGGUAGCGGGGGAUAACUAUUGGAAACGAUAGCUAAUACCGCAUAAUAGUAGAUGUUGCAUGACAUUUGCUUAAAAGGUGCAAUUGCAUCACUACCAGAUGGACCUGCGUUGUAUUAGCUAGUUGGUGGGGUAACGGCUCACCAAGGCGACGAUACAUAGCCGACCUGAGAGGGUGAUCGGCCACACUGGGACUGAGACACGGCCCAGACUCCUACGGGAGGCAGCAGUAGGGAAUCUUCGGCAAUGGACGGAAGUCUGACCGAGCAACGCCGCGUGAGUGAAGAAGGUUUUCGGAUCGUAAAGCUCUGUUGUAAGAGAAGAACGAGUGUGAGAGUGGAAAGUUCACACUGUGACGGUAUCUUAACAGAAAGGGACGGCUAACUACGUG